UCGAGACCCAUAAAGGAUUGGAUGACCCUUGAUAACCCGUGAACAUGCGGCAGCGUCAGCUGUCUAUAAGUGCCAUUCGCCCGGUGCUCCCUUCUCGAUCGGAGCGUCGAAAAAGGUGGAUGAACAAAACCAAUUGGGCGCGGCAUUGCGCCAAGGAAAACUUAAUCUAGCAUUGACGACUAUCCGCAGAAGCCCGGAGGGGUUGGCGGUGUGUUGCUGUUGCUUUUGAAAUGUUGUAUGACUCUCGGCAAUGGAUAUCUUGGCUCUUGCAUCGAUGAAGAGCGCAGCGAAAUGCGAUACGUGGUGUGAAUUGCAGAAUCCCGUGAACCAUCGAGUUUUUGAACGCAAGUUGCGCCCGAGGCCAAUUGGUUGAGGGCACGUCCGCCUGGGCGUCAAGCAUUACGUCGCUUCAUUCGGCACCACCCUCAAAUGGGGUGAUUGUGCCGGGUUGAAUGCGGAGAAUGGCCCUUCGUGCAAACGCUUGUGCGGCGGGUUGAAGCGCGGAUGGCCUUCCUCCUGGCAGAUGAGUGACAAAGGGGUGGUUGGAUGUCGCCAGUUGGCCCGCACCGUCAUAUCAUUGGCCUUGAGGAUGGCAUGCACACACAUCAAUAGUAGGUCACCCGGCGUAUCUGUCGUAGGUGACCCAUCGAAAUG
This 654-nucleotide unclassified non-coding RNA is filed under the name Beloglottis mexicana. RNAcentral's name for it is "sequence contains ITS1, 5.8S rRNA gene, ITS2". The stretch from base 240 to 395 matches the Rfam family "5.8S ribosomal RNA". The record is from RNAcentral. Lineage: Eukaryota; Viridiplantae; Streptophyta; Magnoliopsida; Asparagales; Orchidaceae.